GAAACACAUAGGUGUUUUAUUCACAUUUAAAUGUUUUUCUAUUUUAGCAUACUUUUAACUUACUACAGGUAAUUAAUCAUAAAAUAUAGCUAAGCAGUUUCCAAAAUUUGUAAUUAUCACUAGAGGACAUAUGACUAAUUUGAGAUGACUCACCAGAGAGAUGAAUAAAUUAAGUCUGUCAUAAUGUUAUAUAUCUAUUAAAAUGUUUUUAAAAAUUCACUGCAUACACAUUUUAACUAAUUUUCAAUUAUUAAUAAUAGCCAUUAAAAUGUUAAAAAGUUUAUAAAUAUCUAAGGGACCUCAUUUAAGUUAUAAAUUAAUUGUGAAAGAUUGUCUUAAAAAAAUGAAUGUAAUGAAAGUAGCCUCUGAAUUGUAAUACUUAAAAUAAGACAUUGGAAUAGCCAAUUAUUUUUAUAUCUAUUUGCAAAUUAAAAGUUAUAAUGCAAAAACAAAUCUGGGUUGGGUACAGUGGCUCACGCCUGUAAUUCUAGCACUUUGGGAGGCUGAGAAUGGUUUUUUUUAAUUAAUAUUUUUUCUGUAAUGAGAACAUUCUAUGUGUUUCAACAUUGGUGAAAUAGUCCAGUGUGAUUAAGGAUACAACUAUUGUCUAUGAUUGAUUUUGUAUGUAGGGUUUCAAAAUGGAAUUCAGAAAACACAGUCAUUUUAUAAACAUUUACCUAGCAUCUAACAUGUGCACUGUAUAGCGCUCUGUACCACAAGAACUAAAAAUAAAUACAAGGUUUUAUCUUUAUAUAAAAUGUAUUCAGCACAUGUAUAAAUGAAACAGCUAGAAGUUCUAUACAAACGAUAAAAUAAGUAGAUUCAUAAUGUAUUAUUAGAAUAAAAUUGUGAAU
Molecule: long non-coding RNA, 854 nt
Filed under: Homo sapiens (human)
Lineage: Eukaryota; Metazoa; Chordata; Mammalia; Primates; Hominidae
Description: HSALNT0128533
Source: RNAcentral